This 508-nucleotide ribosomal RNA is filed under the name Plectrurus perroteti (Nilgiri burrowing snake). RNAcentral's name for it is "partial large subunit ribosomal RNA". It matches the Rfam family "Bacterial large subunit ribosomal RNA", at positions 1816 to 2600 of the family's 2925-position model. The record is from RNAcentral. Lineage: Eukaryota; Metazoa; Chordata; Lepidosauria; Squamata; Uropeltidae.
AACCUUUAGCAAACCCAAUAUUAAAGGCAACGCCUGCCCAGUGAAACUAUUUAACGGCCGCGGUACCCUAACCGUGCAAAGGUAGCGUAAUCAUUUGUCUAUUAAUUGUAGACCCGUAUGAAAGGCCACAUGAGAGCUAAACUGUCUCUUGUAACUACUCAAUUAAACUGAUCUUUUAGUCCAAAAGCUAAAAUACCUCUAUAAGACCAGAAGACCCUGUGAAGCUUAAACUAACCCGUUAAACCAAAUAACGGCCACUUUCGGUUGGGGCGACCUUGGAAUAAAAAAGAACUUCCAAUAUAAUGACUAUCCCUCAUAUUAAGGCCAACAAGCCACAGUACGACCCAGUCCACUGACUAACGAACCAAGUUACUCCAGGGAUAACAGCGCUAUCUUCUUCAAGAGCCCAUAUCAAAAAGAAGGUUUACGACCUCGAUGUUGGAUCAGGACAUCCUGGUGGUGUAGCCGCUACCAAGGGUUCGUUUGUUCAACGAUUAAUAGUCCUACG